GGUAGGCACCAUCAGGGGCAGCUGUGAAGGCGGCCAGGCAGACAUAUGUGCACACGUACACUGCACCAACGUGUGCAAAGACAGGAAGAACCUGGAAGAUCCUGAGAAGGACAUCUGGGGACAAGUGUUCCGGAGAAUCGCCUUUCACAGGACAUCUUGUAUGCUCUGUACGGUUUGCAUUUUUCACACUGGCACGUCACCUUCACUCUUCAUGAGUUGUUUCGAAUGUUCCAGGCUUGCAGAGAGAGCACUGGGUACAGACACAAUACAGCCUGCGUGCUGCCCAAGCCUCUCCUUGGCGACUCGGACAUGGGACUGGGAAGCGAGGCCAGGCUGCUGUGCCCACAGCCCAGUCACCGAGCCUGAGUGCCUGCUUCACGGACACCGCUAGAGCCCAGGCUCCGCGCUGGGACACAGCCUCACUCAGACACCCGGCUGCCCUUGCGCCAGGACCCGCCGACCUAGGAGGACGGCACAUCUGCAGCCCUGUCCCCUCUGCCCUCAAUGGUGUCCUGCAGUUCAGUGUGUGCCAUGGGAACAGGGACUGACUUUCUUCACUGCUGUAUGCUGAGCCCUACGCCGGCCCAGCACAAAGUAGGUACUCCGCUGUCGUUUACAGUAGAACCCACCACAGCACGGGGGACAGCUGGCGGGCAGGCAGGAGACCCGUCCCUGCCAGAGAGCACAGGGCUCAGGGCCCCGGUAACAUCGCAUCGGGACCCUGACGAUAUUUACCUGGCCGCUAGCAAGCCCGGCAGGGUGCGAUCAUGAGGCUGACAAGGCACAGGUGGGCCCCUCCCGCCCAGGUGAGCAGGGGUGGCUACCAGGAAGGAGCUGGAGGCACUGGGCACCAGAACCGCGGAGAUCCUGGCACCCUACCUCCCACCUCUUCCACCGCCACGCAGAGAGCCCCACAAUCCCAGACGUGGGGAGCAGGGGACCCUGCUGCUCCUGGGGCUGCCGAAGAGACCCAGGUGCAGCCGGGCUCAUCUGAGUAGACCCUGCCAGCCUCAGGAGCCUGGCCUCGGGUCCACAGGGGGAGUUGGGGCUCCCCUCCCCCGUGAAAGGGAACAAAGCAACCAGGUGCCAGCCAGGACCACAGGAGGAGAUGCAAGACGUAAGUGUGCUGCAGCGCAGCGCGCUCCGGGGAAGCCAGAGGCCAGCCCCGCUGUGAACUCAGACGUCACCGGGCGCACCUGCAGACCCCGCAUCAGCUGCUUAGGCACCAGCGCCGGCCCUCUGCCGCAGGGCUGCUCUCCACGCACUAGCUGGGGCCCCGCCCACUUCAGCCUGUCUCUCACAACGUGGGGCACGGACUCCAGCACUUCACAGCCCCUACCCCGCUCCAAAUCUUGUCACUGUCACUAGGGGCACUGCCCCCUUUCCCAGGGUCCUGAUCUGCCUGGGCCUCCGGGCCUGCGUCCCUGUUGCAGAUUGACGCAGAGCGCAGAGGCGUGGCGCAGGGGCGUGGGCGUGGUCUCUAUGGGCCCCACCCACCAGCAUCUUGCCGCCUGGCUGGUUCCAUGCUGCUGCGGGACUUGCCAGUCCUCCAGGCACCCUGGCCACACUCCCCAGGUCCAGACGAGGGCAAACCCCCAGGACCGCAGCCAGCCCCGGUCACAAGCCACACCCGCAGCCACCAAAUCCCCAUUCCUCACCCCCAGCGCACACCCUCAGUUGGAAGGAGCCUUGUCCUCUCCACGCCCUCCUUCCCGGAGAUCAGCCUCUCGGACUCCCCACACAACCUCUGAGGUGGCCCUUCCUACUUUAAAUCCGGGUCCUCUGGCCUCUAGGCUCCACCCUCUUGACAGUGACAAGUUUAGGAGCCUGGCAGAAGGGUGCCCAACUCUACUCCAGCCUCUGUGACCCCGCACUGGAAUUGUCACCUUCCCUAAGGCCGGAGAGACUCUGGUCUGUCUGGGCAACACGUAUCACAUAUGCAGCCGUGCCUGGUGCUGGAUGCAGACAGGAUGGGGCCGGGCUAUUCAUGCCCAGGUUGCCAUGGACACGAGGCUGAGUGGAGCCUGGAGGGGCAGUUAGUCCAGGUCUGCUGGAGAAACAGGGGCAGCACCCUGCUGGCACCAGGGAGCAGCAAGCACAUGGCAGGACAGGGCAGUGACAGCCACCAGCCACAGGAUUCCCAGGCCUGGCAGCCAAGGAGCUCACAGGACCGAGAAAUGAGAAUGGAGCAGUCCCUGGAGCCGUUGGGAGGAAGCGACAAAGAAAGAAACCGAGUCAGCAGGUGGAACAGGCCGUGACGCACUUCCCUGCCAGCCGUCCCCUCCUCCCCAGGCCUCAGCAGGCCACAGGGAAGCCCCUCCUUGUCCCAGAGCCUGCAAAUCUGCUGGUGGCCCAUGUGUCCCCGUGUCUGUCGUGGCUAAGACAGCACCCUGGGCCUCUCCAGAAGGGGCCCCUCCUCGCUUGGAGCUGUGCUGACCUCACACUGUGGACCGUGACCUUGAGCAGGUGGCCCGGCCUCUCUGGACGCCUACUGCAUCUCACGGCUGGGGGAGGGGAGCCAUGCCUCACAUCCUUACAGGGUUACGAGCAGGAGGGGUCCGAGAGCGGACUGUCAGCCCACAGCUUGGGCCUAACUUACAGGCUCUCCAGAAAACUGGCUGAAGCCUACCCACAAGUACCUGCGAAGGUGACCUUAUUUAGAAACACAGCCUCAGCAGAUUUGAUCAGGUUAAGGUUAUUAGGUUGGGCCCUGAUCCAAUUUGACUGGUGUCCUCAUAACAAAGAGAAACGGGGACACAGAGACAAGCCCAUGUGAAGACUGAGGGCCAGAGUGACAGGCCCACCAGCCAACCAGCGCACAGCCAGCGACCCCCAGAGACCGGGGAAGACAGGUGGGCCCGCCCUGCAGAACUCAGAAGUCCAGCCCUGCAACACCCACAUCUCAGACUUCUGGCCUCCAGGACCCUGAGAGAGUACGUUUCAUGGCUGUAAGCACCCAUGCUGUGUGGCACUUUGUUGUGGAAGCCACACCAGGUCAUGCUGCCUUCUCCCUUCCAGCCAGGCCCAAGGCCCCCAGAAGGUUCUGGAACACUGAGCCUCUGGUCACCAAUCCCACGUACUGCCAUCAAGUCACCAAGCACCCGCUCUGUCCUAAUUCAGUAUAGGGAGUCCCAGUUCGGAGACUUGCAUGAACCUCCCCCUCCCCCGAGACAAUGAGGAAUAUUCUAGAACACUGAAUGAAAUUACUGAGCCAGGCAUCGGUGCUUCCUCCCAGCCUGCAAGUCCCCUGAGGCUCGCUCUGCCUUGACAAGCGUCACUCGCCACAUCCCAGAGAGCCCAGCAAAACUGCAUCUUUCAACCAACUUCUGACUUUGGCCAAAGACAUGAAGGAUGAAGUAGCCACUUGGUGCCAGGACAAAGAAAAUGGGAACUGUAAGGACCUCUGAAGAGUCAAAAUUACUCUUGGAAAUAAAGAACCAAAUUGGAGGAUUCAACUUCAAAACUUACUACAGAGCUCCAGUAAUCAAAACAUCAUGGUACUGGCAUGAGAAAAAGCAUAUAAAUCAAUGGACUGGAAUGAACAGGCCAAAAUAAAACUCUAUCCAUGGUCAA
Long non-coding RNA from Chinchilla lanigera (long-tailed chinchilla), 3573 nucleotides. RefSeq lists it as uncharacterized. The transcript has 3 exons. Lineage: Eukaryota; Metazoa; Chordata; Mammalia; Rodentia; Chinchillidae. The record is from RefSeq and is a predicted model, not a curated record.